Eutrema salsugineum is the source of this 681-nucleotide RNA transcript. It is a transcript of the gene named small nuclear ribonucleoprotein SmD1a, with no coding region annotated. The transcript has 5 exons. The record is from RefSeq and is a predicted model, not a curated record. Lineage: Eukaryota; Viridiplantae; Streptophyta; Magnoliopsida; Brassicales; Brassicaceae.
GGUCGGGUUCCUCACUCACCCGCCAAUCAAUCAGUUGGAGAAACCAUUGAGAGAGCACUGAGCAAAGCUUUAGACGGGUUUUAGCUUCUGCUUCUUUGCUUCUUUCUCCCCCAAACUCCGAAAAAAAUGAAGCUCGUCAGGUUUUUGAUGAAGCUGAACAACGAAACUGUAUCGAUCGAGCUGAAGAACGGUACUGUUGUCCAUGGCACCAUCACUGGUGUUGAUGUGAGCAUGAAUACGCACCUGAAGACUGUUAAAAUGACUCUGAAGGGGAAGAACCCUGUGACUCUCGAUCAUCUAAGCUUGAGGGGUAACAAUAUCCGCUACUACAUUCUUCCCGAUAGCUUGAACCUUGAGACUUUACUUGUAGAGGACACUCCAAGGGUUAAGCCCAAGAAGGCUGCUGCUACUGGGAAGUCUGUUGGACGUGGCCGAGGACGCGGUCGUGGACGUGGUCGUGGAAGAGGUCGUUAGAUGUAUUUUCUUUUUGCAUAUAACCUUUGCUGGCUACUACUUAUCUACUGGGAAAAAAAAAGUUAAAGGUUCCCCUAUAUAACUGUGGGGAUGGCUCGGAUAAGGAAAAGAGGAAGGCACACCGUAUCCCUGAGGCCAUGGAUAACUCGGCAUGUCUUUUUUCUCCGGAGGUUUCUUAUCAUCUGGCUUCUUGUCUCCAUCUUUCUU